RNAcentral lists this ribosomal RNA (301 nucleotides) under uncultured bacterium. RNAcentral's name for it is "partial 16S ribosomal RNA". It matches the Rfam family "Bacterial small subunit ribosomal RNA", at positions 509 to 808 of the family's 1533-position model. The record is from RNAcentral.
CAGUCGCCGCGGUAAUACGGAGGGUGCAAGCGUUAAUCGGAAUUACUGGGCGUAAAGCGCACGCAGGCGGUCUGUCAAGUCAGAUGUGAAAUCCCCGGGCUUAACCUGGGAACUGCAUUUGAAACUGCAGGCUAGAGUCUUGUAGAGGGGGGUAGAAUUCCAGGUGUAGCGGUGAAAUGCGUAGAGAUCUGGAGGAAUACCGGUGGCGAAGGCGGCCCCCUGGACAAAGACUGACGCUCAGGUGCGAAAGCGUGGGGAGCAAACAGGAUUAGAUACCCGAGUAGUCCCUGUCUCUUAUACA